Molecule: ribosomal RNA, 438 nt
Filed under: uncultured bacterium
Lineage: Bacteria
Description: partial 16S ribosomal RNA
Rfam family: Bacterial small subunit ribosomal RNA
Source: RNAcentral
CUACGGGACGCUCCAGUGGGGAAUAUUGCACAAUGGAGGAAACUCUGAUGCAGCAACGCCGCGUGGAGGAUGACACUUUUCGGAGCGUAAACUCCUUUUAUAUAGGAAGAAGAUGACGGUACUAUAUGAAUAAGCGCCGGCUAACUCCGUGCCAGCAGCCGCGGUAAUACGGAGGGCGCAAGCGUUACUCGGAAUCACUGGGCGUAAAGAGCGUGUAGGCGGAUUAAAAAGUCAGAAGUGAAAUCCUAUAGCUUAACUAUAGAACUGCUUCUGAAUCUCUUAAUCUAGAAUAUGGGAGAGGUAGAUGGAAUUUCUGGUGUAGGGGUAAAAUCCGUAGAGAUCAGAAGGAAUACCGAUUGCGAAGGCGAUCUACUAGAACAUUAUUGACGCUGAGACGCGAAAGCGUGGGGAGCAAACAGGAUUAGAUCCCUAGUAGUC